Molecule: long non-coding RNA, 1655 nt
Organism: Sus scrofa (pig)
Lineage: Eukaryota; Metazoa; Chordata; Mammalia; Artiodactyla; Suidae
Source: RefSeq, a predicted model, not a curated record
AAGGAAAAAGCUGGCAGCUCAGCCCACAAGCAGCCGCCUUCUGUACACACUACCAGCUUGAUCCAAUUAGGAAACAUUAGCGGUCCGGUGACAGAUCUGAAAACAAAGGUUCAGAGGAGACACAAGAGUCCUGACAGCAGUUGGGGAAAUCACAAAAUCUCCAGCCCAGCAACCAUGUCCAGCCGAGACUGUAUUCUCUGCCAGGCUCUGCUCCAGACACUGGCUCUCAACAGUCUUCAUGCGCAGUCUCUUUGAACUCUGUGUCCCUAUCAGAUGCAUCUGAAUGGUAUAGACACUGCUUUUCAAGAAAUGCCACCUGAAUGUUUGCCACCAACAAGGAUGGAGAAAUAAAAGGAACCUCGUCUCUGCACUGUGCACCACCUUUUCAUAUUAUAUUGUCCUGCCGUCGUCUCUGAGGGAGGAAAACAUUUGGAUCUGCAGUGGGUUAGGUAAACGCCCACUAAAUAUUGAUGCAUGCAUAAUUAAAAUGACUAAAAUAAUCCUGGCAUAAAAUUACCCUUGCAGUCAGAGGAGAGACAAAAUGAAGUAAUUUGAUCAGGAAAAUUAAUACAAGUCGACUCUCAAUUUUCAGUGCAGCUAAUUGAAAACCACUUAUUAUUCAAACCUCACUUUCCCUCAUGGUUUGUACUUUUUUCUCUUUGCCCGGUGAAAAAGGGACGUGAGAGGAGCGUCCCAGGGGAAAAGCCAUCAUAUUGAGAUGGGGGAGCAAGAGAAGCAUGUUUGUUUUUCUAAGGCAAUGGCUCCUAAACUUUUAUUACCUCUAUUGCUUUUGCCAUCCGUGACCCACUUCCAUGGGCAUGUCCAGUGUGAUAGGCCACCCCGUCCUCUCUCCCUCAAACCACAUUGAAAUUACGACACUGGCAUGAUUGUGAUUGUCAUCUUUUUAAAGUGACAGUUUUACUGAGAUAUAAUUCUCAAAGAUGCAAAUCACCAUUUAAAGUAUAGAGGUCAAUGGCUUUUAGUAUUCACAGAGUUAUGCAAACAUCGCCACAUUUCAUCACCCCCAAAAAUACCUACUGGCAUUUCCAUGGGUCACAUUCCAAUAAACCACCUGCGCUUGAGUCGUUGCCUUGAGUUCUGCUUCUGGGAAACUCAAACUAGGACACAGUGGUUCUCUCUCACAAUCUACUACCAGGAUUCCCGGCAAAGCCUCUUCGGAAGAACAUCACCCCCUCUUGAGAGGAAUAGUCAUACACAAGGAUGAAAUGGUGAUGGGGUCCAUUGUUCCUUUCCUGAAGGGAAUUCAAAAUCAGCAGGUCUGCAGAAACAAAACAAAAUCGAUAACAACAAAAGAAGCCAGUCUGGAGCCGAUGUCUCCUGGAGGACCCGUCAUUAUGAGGUUGAGCGUUUUUACAGCCAGGCUGUUGCACAACAAUAGGGAGUAGGCAGUAGAACUCCGGCCGCAUGAAACACACAACCACUGUGGUGGUCAUUCCCAGGAUUGUCUCACCUCUCCUGCCUUGUCCCACACUCGGAAGGAUGCUUGUUACCCAGCAAGGGCCCAAUACAUGCUGUCACUUAAUAAGGAUAUUCUUGGCAGAUUAAGCUGGUUCCAUCCACACUAAGGGAGGAGAGAGGGCAAGCAAUUUCUUUUUCUUCUUCUUUUUUAGGGCCACACCUGUGGCAUAUGCCGU